Molecule: ribosomal RNA, 406 nt
Filed under: uncultured bacterium
Lineage: Bacteria
Description: partial 16S ribosomal RNA
Rfam family: Bacterial small subunit ribosomal RNA
Source: RNAcentral
AUUGAACGCUGGCGGCAGGCCUAACACAUGCAAGUCGAGCGAGCGGCCGACGGGUGAGUAAUGCCUAGGAAUCUGCCUGGUAGUGGGGGAUAACGUCAGGAAACGGGCGCUAAUACCGCAUACCAUCAGAUGUGCCCAGAUGGGAUUAGCUGGUUGGGGAGGAAACGGCUCACCAAGUCGACUAUCCCUAGCUGGGCUGAGAGGAUGACCAGCCACACUGGAACUGAGACCCGGUCCAGACGCCUACGGGAGGCAGCAGUGGGGAAUAGUGCGCAGUGGGCGCAAGCCUGGUGCAGCCAUGCCGCGUGAAUAAGGUAGGUCUUCGGGUUGUAAAGUACUGUCAGCGGGGAGGCGUUACCAGCAGAAGAAGCACCGGCUAACUCCGUGCCAGCAGCCGCGGUAAUAC